This 763-nucleotide ribosomal RNA is filed under the name Clostridioides difficile. Its description in RNAcentral is "partial 23S ribosomal RNA". It matches the Rfam family "Bacterial large subunit ribosomal RNA", at positions 683 to 1454 of the family's 2925-position model. The record is from RNAcentral. Lineage: Bacteria; Bacillati; Bacillota; Clostridia; Peptostreptococcales; Peptostreptococcaceae.
UUUAACUGAGCGUUCAGUUACUUGACGUAGACCCGAAACCGGGCGACCUACCCAUGAGCAGGAUGAAGCGAAAGUAAAAUUUCGUGGAGGUCCGAACCCACGAGCGUUGAAAAGCUCGGGGAUGACUUGUGGGUAGCGGUGAAAUUCCAAUCGAGCCCGGAGAUAGCUGGUUCUCCCCGAAAUAGCUUUAGGGCUAGCCUCAAGGUGAGAGAUACGGAGGUAGAGCACUGAAUGUCCUAGGGGGUAUUGCACCUACCGAAGACUAUCAAACUCCGAAUGCCGUCAUCUUAUACUUGGGAGUCAGACUGUGGGUGAUAAGAUUCAUAGUCGAAAGGGCAACAGCCCAGAUCGUCAGCUAAGGUCCCUAAAUGUAAGUUAAGUGGUAAAGGAUGUGGGAUUGCACAGACAACCAGGAUGUUGGCUUAGAAGCAGCCACUCAUUCAAAGAGUGCGUAAUAGCUCACUGGUCGAGUGAUCCUGCGCCGAAGAUUUCCGGGGCUAAAACUUACUACCGAAGCUACGGCAUCAGUAAUGAUGGGUAGGGGAGCUUCCCAUACGGGUUGAAGCAUGACCGUAAGGACAUGUGGACAGUAUGGGAGUGAGAAUGUUGGCAUGAGUAGCGAGAUGUGGGUGAGAAUCCCACAGGCCGUAAACCCAAGGUUUCCAGGGGAAGGUUCGUCCGCCCUGGGUUAGUCGGGACCUAAGCUGAGGCCGAAAGGCGUAGGUGAUGGACAACAGGUUGAUAUUCCUGUACUACCGAUAAC